RNAcentral lists this ribosomal RNA (458 nucleotides) under uncultured bacterium. Its description in RNAcentral is "SSU rRNA". It matches the Rfam family "Bacterial small subunit ribosomal RNA", at positions 26 to 518 of the family's 1533-position model. The record is from RNAcentral.
AGAAUCAACGCUGGCGGCGUGCCUAACACAUGCAAGUCGCACGAGAAAGGGGAGCAAUCCCUGAGUAAAGUGGCGCACGGGUGAGUAACACGUGAAUAAUCUACCUCCGAGUGGGGAAUAACUGAGAGAAAUCUUAGCUAAUACCGCAUAACACUUACGAGUCAAAGCAGCAAUGCGCUUGGAGAGGAGUUCGCGGCCGAUUAGUUAGUUGGCGGGGUAAUGGCCCACCAAGACGAUGAUCGGUAUCCGGCCUGAGAGGGCGCACGGACACACUGGAACUGAAACACGGUCCAGACUCCUACGGGAGGCAGCAGUGGGGAAUUUUGCGCAAUGGGGGAAACCCUGACGCAGCAACGCCGCGUGGAGGAUGAAGCCCCUUGGGGUGUAAACUCCUUCGAUCGGGAAGAUAAUGACGGUACCGAUAUAAGAAGCCCGGCUAACUUCGUGCCAGCAGCCGC